UGGGCAGCCACGUGGCCGCCCCGGGGCCCGCGUGUGCCCCGGGUGCCGCUGGCCCUGCCCGCUCGUCACUCGGUGGGACACCGCCCGCUGGUCAUCACUGCCCGCCCGUGACUCGGUGGGACACUGCCCGCCGGCCACCACUGCCCGCCGGCCACUCGGUGGGACACUGCCCGCUUGCCACUCGCGGGACGCUCCAGCAGCAGGGGCGACUCCGGCGCCGCAGCCCCUGCCACGGGGUAGGAGCACCCUUUGGACACCCCUGUGCUGAUGCAGUUUUCCGGCGGGGGGAAGGAAAAGCCACGUCCCGCGUCAGGCAGCACUGAACAGAGCAUCCUGACCUACAGGUUCUGCUGCAGCAAAACCCAGCUCUGCACUGUACAACCUGCAAGAAGCAGCAGCAGCUCCUACCAGUUUUGAGUCAUACAUGGAAUGACAGGACACAGAAGUGGAGAUCUCAUUUAUUGGGCUGAAACUACAAAUAGAUUCACUUUGACUUCUGGCUCUGUGCUUGUGCCUUCAACACUUUCACAACAAUCUUCUGCUCCUCGA
Molecule: long non-coding RNA, 549 nt
Organism: Haemorhous mexicanus (house finch)
Lineage: Eukaryota; Metazoa; Chordata; Aves; Passeriformes; Fringillidae
Exons: 2
Source: RefSeq, a predicted model, not a curated record